GACAACGCAGCCAAGGAUUUUAAAAAAGGACCGAAAUCCAAAGUGCUGAAAAAUGUUACGAACUUCACGGAACUGAGCGGGGAGUCCUUUCGGUUCAAGUUAUUUUUAUUUAAUGCUUAAGUGCUGGCUCACGAGUCACGACCCAUGCAUCCGUUUUUACGCGCCUUCUCUUUGCUUUUGAAAUUACGUCAAUGUCCUUUCCUUUUCUUACUCCUUCCCUUCUUUAGAUGUGUGGAUCAAUGAGAAUUUUAUAUUUAUAUUUUAUUUGAUUUGAUGAAAAUGAAGUUGACAACCUUGGUAACAAGUUGCUGAUACCUUUUCAAUAAUUAGAAAAAUUUUAAGGAAAAUAUUUGUUUUAUUUUAUUACGUAAUAAAGUAUUUAUUUAAUUUUAUUUUGAUGAAAUAGAUGACAAAUACUCGAAGGAAUGUUAUUUUACAAAUCCUAACAAUGAGACUUUAUUCAUCCUUUUGGAAAUUUAUUUUUAUUUUUGAGUAAAAUUUAAGAUUUUAUUCGAAAAUAUAUAUAUGAAAAAAAUAUUAUUAUUUAUUAAUUAAAUCGUUAAUUUAUGUAAUGCAUACUUGUCACACAAUUUUCAUUCUCAUUAAAUCAUAACAUUUAUAAAAAAAAAGGUUACAUGUACAUUUAAUAUUUUUAUAAUUUUAUGUAAUUAACAUGUUAA
RNAcentral lists this long non-coding RNA (680 nucleotides) under Durio zibethinus. RNAcentral describes it as "long non-coding RNA (DZIB_LNC002337)". The record is from RNAcentral. Lineage: Eukaryota; Viridiplantae; Streptophyta; Magnoliopsida; Malvales; Malvaceae.